RNAcentral lists this ribosomal RNA (591 nucleotides) under uncultured Burkholderia sp. Its description in RNAcentral is "bacterial SSU rRNA". It matches the Rfam family "Bacterial small subunit ribosomal RNA", at positions 418 to 1003 of the family's 1533-position model. The record is from RNAcentral. Lineage: Bacteria; Pseudomonadati; Pseudomonadota; Betaproteobacteria; Burkholderiales; Burkholderiaceae.
UCGGGUUGUAAAGCACUUUUGUCCGGAAAGAAAACGCUCUGGUUAAUACCCGGGGCGGAUGACGGUACCGGAAGAAUAAGCACCGGCAACUACGUGCCAGCAGCCGCGGUAAUACGUAGGGUGCAAGCGUUAAUCGGAAUUACUGGGCGUAAAGCGUGCGCAGGCGGUCCGCUAAGACAGAUGUGAAAUCCCCGGGCUUAACCUGGGAACUGCAUUUGUGACUGGCGGGCUAGAGUAUGGCAGAGGGGGGUAGAAUUCCACGUGUAGCAGUGAAAUGCGUAGAGAUGUGGAGGAAUACCGAUGGCGAAGGCAGCCCCCUGGGCCAAUACUGACGCUCAUGCACGAAAGCGUGGGGAGCAAACAGGAUUAGAUACCCUGGUAGUCCACGCCCUAAACGAUGUCAACUAGUUGUCGGGUCUUCAUUGACUUGGUAACGUAGCUAACGCGUGAAGUUGACCGCCUGGGGAGUACGGUCGCAAGAUUAAAACUCAAAGGAAUUGACGGGGACCCGCACAAGCGGUGGAUGAUGUGGAUUAAUUCGAUGCAACGCGAAAAACCUUACCUACCCUUGACAUGUAUGGAACCCUGCUG